This 229-nucleotide long non-coding RNA is filed under the name Penaeus chinensis. RNAcentral describes it as "uncharacterized LOC125038320". The record is from RNAcentral. Lineage: Eukaryota; Metazoa; Arthropoda; Malacostraca; Decapoda; Penaeidae.
GCGGCCUCUGUUCUAAACUUUCUACAGUUUCAACAUGGCAAACUACAGUAGAGGAAUGUUGUUGUUCCUCCUUGUCUGCCUUGUGUCUGCAGCAAUUGCAGAUCCAAUGAGAUCAACCAUUACCGGCAGCAUGGCAUCAAUACAAAUACCACCAUAGACAUUUAGCAGCGAAACAGAGGCAAGAUAGAAACAAGAACCAAAUGGAUAAUAAAACUCCUUAACUAUCAAA